This 143-nucleotide ribosomal RNA is filed under the name uncultured eukaryote. Its description in RNAcentral is "partial small subunit ribosomal RNA". It matches the Rfam family "Bacterial small subunit ribosomal RNA", at positions 1383 to 1525 of the family's 1533-position model. The record is from RNAcentral.
GUACACACCGCCCGUCACAUCAUGGGAGUGGGCUGCAAAAGAAGUGGCUAGUCUAACCUUCGGGAGGACGGUCACCACUUUGUGGUUCAUGACUGGGAUGAAGUCGUAACAAGGUAGCCGUAGGUGAACCUGCAGAAGGAUCA